UGUUUGUAAACAUAACAGAUGAUGAUGUUGAGGACUAAGGAGUACCAAGUCAGCAACCCUGGAAAGUCUGAAGCUAUCAGUUGAUUUUGUGGAUGCAUAGCUGGAAAGUGUCGAUGUUGUUUAGAUGUUAUGGAGACUGUGGAUGUUUAGGUAGUUAGGUGGCACUUGCUUAGUUUAUUUUUUUUAUAUGAGUUUUGGUGAAACUGAAAGAAGAUGUAAUCUACUAAUCUUUAUCUUUUGAAUUGUGUUUAAGAAUGUUAUGAAUUUGGAUUGUGUAUGGAAUAUUGGAAUGUGAAUGUCUGUAGCCUGUAGGUAGGUUUGAA
Papaver somniferum (opium poppy) is the source of this 323-nucleotide long non-coding RNA. RefSeq lists it as uncharacterized. NCBI's taxonomy places the organism in Eukaryota, Viridiplantae, Streptophyta, Magnoliopsida, Ranunculales, Papaveraceae. The transcript is spliced from 2 exons. The record is from RefSeq and is a predicted model, not a curated record.